GCCCUCGUGGCGGAAUGGUAGACGCUGCAGACUUAAAAUCUGUUGUCCGCAAGGACGUACCGGUUCGAGUCCGGUCGGGGGUAC
RNAcentral lists this transfer RNA (84 nucleotides) under Akkermansia muciniphila. RNAcentral's name for it is "tRNA-Leu". It matches the Rfam family "tRNA". From Rfam's summary of the family: Transfer RNA (tRNA) molecules are approximately 80 nucleotides in length. Their secondary structure includes four short double-helical elements and three loops (D, anti-codon, and T loops). The record is from RNAcentral. Lineage: Bacteria; Pseudomonadati; Verrucomicrobiota; Verrucomicrobiia; Verrucomicrobiales; Akkermansiaceae. RNAcentral also lists the same sequence under 1 other name.